Molecule: transfer RNA, 72 nt
Filed under: Ovis aries (sheep)
Lineage: Eukaryota; Metazoa; Chordata; Mammalia; Artiodactyla; Bovidae
Rfam family: tRNA
About the family: Transfer RNA (tRNA) molecules are approximately 80 nucleotides in length. Their secondary structure includes four short double-helical elements and three loops (D, anti-codon, and T loops).
Source: Rfam by way of RNAcentral
UCCCUGGUGGCUCAGACGGUAAAGCGUCUGCCUCCAAUGCGGGAGACCCAGGUUCAAUUCCUGGGUUGGGAA